CAGCCAUCCAUCUAGAGAGGGUAGAGAGAGAGGGAGGCGAGCUAGAGAGAGAGAAAGGAAGGCUGCCAUAUUUUUCUAGAGAAGAAGAAGAAAAGAAAGAGAAGGAGAAGGAGAAGAGGGUUUCGAACCCUAGGUGACAAGGUUUUCUUGCUAGAGUGUUCUUGAUUCAACAAUCAAGAGAGGCUUGUUGAGAGGUUGUGAAUUUACUUAGCUCAGACCUGAGGUAAGGAAGUUAGAUAGAUUCUAUGAUUUUAUGAUAUGAAUGGUAAGACUAUUGUAUGAAUGAAUCGUUAUGAAUUAUGAAUGUCAUAAUGAUAUGAUAUGUGGCUUGUAUGAAUAUGAUAUGUUUAUGAAUGGAUGUUAGCCUGAUGAACGCGACACAUCAAAUGAGUUUCUAAGGAUAUAAAGACGUAACUCCUAUGUUUAUGAAUGGAUGUUAGCUUGAUGAACGCGACACAUCAAAUGGGUUGCUAAGGAUAUAAAGACGUAACCCGAGUUACUAAGGAUAUAAAGACGUAACUCCUAGGGCGGACGCGCCAAGGUUAUUCAAGGACCAGAGACUCUUCUUUACCUCAUAAGGUGACAUGGACAAGUUAGCGGGCCAUGUUCAUCAUGAAUGAUGUAGCAAAUAGGAUUUCUCUGUGGCACGCGUGGUGACGUGAGGAGUUCUAUCGUCGUAGGGUGUAUGGCGUGGGGUAUCCUAUGGACAGAAUAAACGAUCACUUUAGGACGCCAUUUUAAUUAUGUUAUGUUUUAAGAGACUUUCUAAAUUAUCAGUGGGACUUAAUUAUUUAAUAUUGUUUCUUUUGAACUUUGCAUAAAAACUCAUAUUUUCUUUUUAAACUAAUGGGCCCAACUUGCAUUGUUUUAAGCAAGUCCCCACUGAGACCUUUAUAAAAAGUUGUUUUCUUUAUGAACCAACGAUAUGUGAAUGUUUUAAUAAGUACUAG
This is a long non-coding RNA of Humulus lupulus (European hop), 950 nucleotides long. RefSeq lists it as uncharacterized. The record is from RefSeq and is a predicted model, not a curated record. Lineage: Eukaryota; Viridiplantae; Streptophyta; Magnoliopsida; Rosales; Cannabaceae. The transcript is spliced from 4 exons.